Oncorhynchus gorbuscha (pink salmon) is the source of this 563-nucleotide long non-coding RNA. RefSeq lists it as uncharacterized. The transcript has 3 exons. Lineage: Eukaryota; Metazoa; Chordata; Actinopteri; Salmoniformes; Salmonidae. The record is from RefSeq and is a predicted model, not a curated record.
CGUGGAGAGUAGACAUUCCUCCGAAUGACGUCAUGACGUUCCCCCUACGUCUGACGUCACUGACGUCGAACGGGGCUGUUUGUUCUGGAUUCAGGGGUGAGGAAGACCUGCGCGCGCUGACAACCGACAGAAAAAGGUCACUACUCCACCCCUCUCAUCAACCAACCAACCAAAGGAAGACUGGCCCCUCUCUCCUGCCCCCCUCCAGGUCACUACUCUACCUCUCUGUUCUGAGAGAUGACACUCCCUCUGGACUAGACCAAGCCUGCACCACAACAGACAAACAUACAAUCCAAUGGGCUGGGAUGAUGACUAUGAUGACGUUACUCUCCCCCCCCUUCUAGAGAAUCCAGUGGGCUGUGAUGAUGACGAUGAUGACGUUACUCUUCCUCCUCCCUUCAGAGAGUCCAGCGUUUUGUGUGAUGGCCUGAGAGGGCUUCCCAGUCUAGCCUGCCUGCCUCUCCCGGGUCCAAACUGUCUGACUGGGACUCCCCCCCUCCCCGCCUGCUACGCCCUGCCUCCGUCGCCAUGGGAGACGGCCUGGAGGCGGGCAGCAGCCUAGA